This 2741-nucleotide long non-coding RNA is filed under the name Olea europaea (common olive). RNAcentral's name for it is "long non-coding RNA (OEUR_LNC009871)". The record is from RNAcentral. Lineage: Eukaryota; Viridiplantae; Streptophyta; Magnoliopsida; Lamiales; Oleaceae.
GCAACCGUGCAUAUUUUAGAAUGAGGAAUUCGCACUACAUAUGUCCUGCAAGGCCCAGUGAGAAAAAAGUCUGGGGUUAAAAUGAUAAUGUUAAACAUAAUGUAUCGCAUGUAACAUUUAAUGAAUCGAACUCAUGCAUGGACUAAGUGAACUGUCGAGAAAAACUGACAUCAACUAUCGAUAUUGAUAGAUCAUCUGUUGAUACCGACAAUUGAUAUCCAAACAGGACUGGAGUGAGGUGAAAUAUCGAGAAUAAUUGAGCUGAAGUGUCCGAAAUGAUAGUUCACUGGGAGUUGAUCUGCCUACUGAAGUGAGCUGUGCAACAUAAGUGGACAAAGGAGACAUGCAAGGACAACGUUUAAACCACAAUCAGUUCAAUACGAAUGCAAGGUAUGAGCCUGUAAUUCAUGUGUGAAGCCAAUUCUUACAACAAAAACUAUGAAUGAUCUGCUCAAAUCGUAUGCCAUGCAUAAUCAUGAUUUUCCAAGCAUAAAGGAUCGGGUUAUAUGAUGAACACUUCUGACUAUAUACAUAAAUGACUUCAAAUAUGACCUUAUUACAUAAAUGACUCAGCGAUAAGUGUACAUGCAAAUGCACAGACGGUUCAUAUUUUGGGAAAAUGGAAGUACCCACACUUUGACAUAUCCGAAUAACCUUACAUUAUAAGAACAAAUUAUACUCAAUUAAUGAAAUCCCAUAUAUUCAAUUACUCGGUUAUUUCUCUCUAGGAAACUAAGAAUGCAAGUUGUAGAAUGAAAUAAGAUAUUAAAUUUCUCAUACAUCGGAAAAAAGUGAAACAAAAGGGAAUUUUUCGUACUAAACCAGCCAAAUGGAAACAUGAGAACACAUGGUGCAUCUUACUGUAGAAUGGAAUGAGAUAUUAAACUUGUCAUACAUCAGGAAAAAGUGAAACAAAAGGGCUUCUUCAAAAUGGUGUGCUGUGUAGAGCAUUUAUCCAGGGGCACAUGGGGCCACUCCUGCCAAAAGAGGGAGGAAAUCCCAGGCUAAAUGGCUUUACUCUUAUCAUUCUCCCGAUGAUUCUCGAAAAAUAGAAUGAUAAGAGUUAAAUAAAUCAAAGAGAAAAUCUUGGAGGAAAGUUAAAAAACAGAGAAAAAAUCUCUAUUUAUUGUCUUCUUUAAUUUAUUAAUUUUAUUAUUAUUAUCAAAAUAUAUUUUAUAUCAAAUAAUAUAAAAUAAAAUAAUUCGAAAUGUGUUCAAAAAAUUCAAGCUGGACAAUGUGAUAUAGACAGAUAGUCUAAAACAGGAAAAUUUUGUCAUCCUUUCAUCGCUUUCAUGAAUAAAUCAACAACUCAGUUAUUUGUAAAUUGAGAAAUAAUAGUCUAAAACAGGAAAAUUUUGUCAUCCUUUCAUCGCUUUCAUGAAUAAAUCAACAACUCAGUUAUUUGUAAUUUGAGAAAUAAUUGCCCUUCACUUCGUGCAAAAGUACAGAAGUUAUUGCCUUAAAAGAAAAAACAUUCCAAAUAUCUUAUUAACAAUGCUUGAAUAAAAAAUAAAUAGUAAAAUAUGAAUCCUAAAAUGUAUGUAAAUAAUAAAAAAUAAAUUCAACUAGCUUAAAUUAUUUAGUCCAAAAUAUGCACUAACAUUAACUUCUCUUUUUUUUUUUUUUUUACAAGGUGUCCAAUUCUUGACUAAUCCUUGGGUCUGUGAUCCGGCCCCUCUUCACACAGUCCGGUUAAUCGCAGGAUGUGCCUCCGACUGGCCAGGGUCCGAGCGCUCCCCACCUGGUCUGACAAAGUGCCAAGCAAGCCAAUCCAAGUUGCACCUUGCCUUCCAAGAAUAAUCCUUGCCUUCCAAGUUCCCACUUGCCUUCCAAGAAUAAAUCCUUGCCUUCCAAAUGUUCCCUUGCCUUCCAAGAAUAAAUCCUUGCCUUCCAAGAGCCCCAUGUUUCGAACUCACGACCUCUGUUCUGUCAAAUUUGACAGCGUCCGUCCUUUGCCAGUGAAGAAGUGCCUUGGGGGGCAACAUUAACUUCUCUGUACAUACAAAAGAGGGGGAUAGCAUAAGAAAAUUUAGAAUACAUAUAAAACAAGAAUUUAUUAGUACAACAAAAAAUAUAUACAUAUCGUGAUAUCGAUAAGAUAAGAAAUCCUCCUAUAAAAGGGGCAUAUUUUCGUUCGUUAUCAAUCUUAGCAAACAAAUGACAAAUCCCAAGAUGACAAAAUAGUAACUUCCUUCCUUGCAGUUGCCGAGACAAAUAAACCAAGUGAAGUGAGCAACAGAAAUUGUUCCUCACAUUUCUUAAGUAAUAACUAAUGAAAUAUUCUUAAAAUGCAUCAACAGUUCGCUCUUUUGUUCAAUAGGUGCUUCAUAUUCAUAUUCCUCUUUUCCAGAAAAUGCAAACAAAAAAUAAAGAAAACACCAACCUCAAGAUAUUAGUGACGGUCUUCACUAGCAAUGGACAGAUUCACGGCGAUCGUGGACGGCUAGGUGUUGGAUGAUUCGAUUAACAGAGGAGAGAUGAUGCUCGACUUUGAUCAAUUCGAAUGAUAGAGGAGUGAAUUCGUAUUUUGUUUUCGUCGUCAUCAACAGUGAAGGUCGUCACAGGAUGGGACGGAGAUGGGCGAUUUCAGUGAGAGGAGUGCGUUUAAGUCGGUUUUGUGAGAGAUGUGAGUGUGUUUGGGUCAGUUUCAUUUUCUUCUUCUUUUGGGCAUUUCACCUCCUUAUUUUUUUGUUUUAUUUCCCACAUUGAGUUAUUUGGUACACAAUUUUGUACAAUCUUUU